This 104-nucleotide ribosomal RNA is filed under the name Galactia marginalis. Its description in RNAcentral is "partial 26S ribosomal RNA". It matches the Rfam family "Eukaryotic large subunit ribosomal RNA", at positions 1 to 102 of the family's 3401-position model. The record is from RNAcentral. Lineage: Eukaryota; Viridiplantae; Streptophyta; Magnoliopsida; Fabales; Fabaceae.
CGAGACCUCAGGUCAGGCGGGACUACCCGCUGAGUUUAAGCAUAUCAAUAAGCGGAGGAAAAGAAACUAACAAGGAUUCCCCUAGUAACGGCGAGCGAACCGGG